GAUGAACGCUGGCGGCGUGCCUAAUACAUGCAAGUCGAACGAGUUCUGAUUAUUGAAAGGUGCUUGCAUCUUGAUUUAAUUUUGAACGAGUGGCGGACGGGUGAGUAACACGUGGGUAACCUGCCCUUAAGUGGGGGAUAACAUUUGGAAACAGAUGCUAAUACCGCAUAAAUCCAAGAACCGCAUGGUUCUUGGCUGAAAGAUGGCGUAAGCUAUCGCUUUUGGAUGGACCCGCGGCGUAUUAGCUAGUUGGUGAGGUAACGGCUCACCAAGGCAAUGAUACGUAGCCGAACUGAGAGGUUGAUCGGCCACAUUGGGACUGAGACACGGCCCAAACUCCUACGGGAGGCAGCAGUAGGGAAUCUUCCACAAUGGACGCAAGUCUGAUGGAGCAACGCCGCGUGAGUGAAGAAGGCUUUCGGGUCGUAAAACUCUGUUGUUGGAGAAGAAUGGUCGGCAGAGUAACU
This 467-nucleotide ribosomal RNA is filed under the name uncultured bacterium. RNAcentral's name for it is "bacterial SSU rRNA". It matches the Rfam family "Bacterial small subunit ribosomal RNA", at positions 28 to 466 of the family's 1533-position model. The record is from RNAcentral.